GAUUGAACGCUGGCGGCAGGCCUAACACAUGCAAGUCGAACGGCAGCACAGAAGAGCUUGCUCUUUGGGUGGCGAGUGGCGGACGGGUGAGUAAUGUCUGGGAAACUGCCCGAUGGAGGGGGAUAACUACUGGAAACGGUAGCUAAUACCGCAUAACGUCGCGAGACCAAAGUGGGGGACCUUCGGGCCUCACACCAUCGGAUGUGCCCAGAUGGGAUUAGCUAGUAGGUGGGGUAAUGGCUCACCUAGGCGACGAUCCCUAGCUGGUCUGAGAGGAUGACCAGCCACACUGGAACUGAGACACGGUCCAGACUCCUACGGGAGGCAGCAGUGGGGAAUAUUGCACAAUGGGCGCAAGCCUGAUGCAGCCAUGCCGCGUGUAUGAAGAAGGCCUUCGGGUUGUAAAGUACUUUCAGCGGGGAGGAAGGCGGUGAGGUUAAUAACCUCGCCGAUUGACGUUACCCGCAGAAGAAGCACCGGCUAACUUCCGUGCCAGCAGCCGCCGGUAUUACGGGAGGUGCAAGCGUUAAUCGGAAUUACUUGGCGCGUAAAGCGCCCACCGCCGGCGGUCUUGUUAAGUCAGAUGUGGAAUCCCCCGGGCCUUACCCUGGACCUGCAUUUGAAACCUUGCCAGGCCUUGAGUCUCGUAGAGGGGGGUAGAAUUCCAGGUGUAGCGGCUGAAAUGCGUAGAGAUCUGGAGGAAUACCGGUGGCGAAGGGCGGCCCCUUGGACGAAGACUGACGCUCAGGUGCGAAAGCGUGGGGAGCAAACAGGAUUAGAUACCCUGGUAGUCCACGCGUAAACGAUGUCGACUUGGAGGUUGUGCCCUUGAGGCGUGGCUUCCGGAGCUAACGCGUUAAGUCGACCGCCUGGGGAGUACGGCCGCAAGGUUAAAACUCAAAUGGAUUGACGGGGGCCCGCACAAGCGGUGGAGCAUGUGGUUUAAUUCGAUGCAACGCGAAGAACCUUACCUGGCCUUGACAUCCAGAGAACUUAGCAGAGAUGCUUUGGUGCCUUCGGGAACUCUGAGACAGGUGCUGCAUGGCUGUCGUCAGCUCGUGUUGUGAAAUGUUGGGUUAAGUCCCGCAACGAGCGCAACCCUUAUCCUUUGUUGCCAGCGGCUCGGCCGGGAACUCAAAGGAGACUGCCGGUGAUAAACCGGAGGAAGGUGGGGAUGACGUCAAGUCAUCAUGGCCCUUACGGCCAGGGCUACACACGUGCUACAAUGGCGCAUACAAAGAGAAGCGACCUCGCGAGAGCAAGCGGACCUCAUAAAGUGCGUCGUAGUCCGGAUUGGAGUCUGCAACUCGACUCCAUGAAGUCGGAAUCGCUAGUAAUCGUAGAUCAGAAUGCUACGGUGAAUACGUUCCCGGGCCUUGUACACACCGC
This 1389-nucleotide ribosomal RNA is filed under the name uncultured bacterium. RNAcentral describes it as "bacterial SSU rRNA". It matches the Rfam family "Bacterial small subunit ribosomal RNA", at positions 27 to 1393 of the family's 1533-position model. The record is from RNAcentral.